RNAcentral lists this long non-coding RNA (233 nucleotides) under Elaeis guineensis (African oil palm). RNAcentral's name for it is "long non-coding RNA (EGUI_LNC041208)". Lineage: Eukaryota; Viridiplantae; Streptophyta; Magnoliopsida; Arecales; Arecaceae. The record is from RNAcentral.
CCAUAAGGGGCAUUCCAUUUAAAUAGGGAAUGAAGAGGUGGCAAGGAUUCCUAAGGGGUGCCAACUCUUGGUGCUCCACUUUCUCACGUGGAGAAAUAAUUCAUUGAUGAAUUAAACUAUACAGAAGAUUCUUCAUACAGAAGAAGUCCUCCUCUUCAACACCCCAUAAUUCUCCACAUUAAAUAAGGUAUGUGAUAAUUAAGAAAAUCCAUGGAAAUAAAGAGAUAGUUAAG